Molecule: ribosomal RNA, 465 nt
Filed under: uncultured Sphingobacteriales bacterium
Lineage: Bacteria; Pseudomonadati; Bacteroidota; Sphingobacteriia; Sphingobacteriales
Description: bacterial SSU rRNA
Rfam family: Bacterial small subunit ribosomal RNA
Source: RNAcentral
GGGGCCCGCACAAGCGAGGAGCAUGUGGUUUAAUUCGAUGAUACGCGAGGAACCUUACCUGGGCUCGAACGUAAGAUGACUGUAGGUGAAAGCUUACAUCUCUUCGGAGCAUUUUACGAGGUGCUGCAUGGUUGUCGUCAGCUCGUGCCGUGAGGUGUCGGGUUAAGUCCCAUAACGAGCGCAACCCCUACCUUUAGUUGCCAUCAGGUUAAGCUGGGGACUCUAAAGGAACUGCCUACGCAAGUAGUGAGGAAGGCGGGGAUGACGUCAAAUCAGCACGGCCCUUACGUCCAGGGCUACACACGUGCUACAAUGGCCGAUACAGAGGGCAGCUACCUGGUGACAGGAUGCAAAUCUCCAAAGUCGGUCUCAGUUCGGAUCGGAGUCUGCAACCCGACUCCGUGAAGUUGGAUUCGCUAGUAAUCGCGCAUCAGCCAUGGCGCGGUGAAUACGUUCCCGGGCCUU